This 423-nucleotide ribosomal RNA is filed under the name uncultured Glomeromycotina. RNAcentral's name for it is "SSU rRNA". It matches the Rfam family "Eukaryotic small subunit ribosomal RNA", at positions 671 to 1092 of the family's 1831-position model. The record is from RNAcentral. Lineage: Eukaryota; Fungi; Glomeromycota.
UUGGUGUGACUGGUCUCGCUGAUCCCUCCCUCUUGACGAACUGUGAUGCCAUUAAUUUGGUGUCGCAGGGAAUCAGGACUGUUACUUUGAAAAAAUUAGAGUGUUUAAAGCAGGCUUUCGCUUGAAUACAUUAGCAUGGAAUAAUGAAAUAGGACGUUUGAUCCUAUUUUGUUGGUCUCUAGGAUUGACGUAAUGAUUAAUAGGGAUAGUUGGGGGCAUUAGUAUUCAAUUGUCAGAGGUGAAAUUCUUGGAUUUAUUGAAGACUAACUACUGCGAAAGCAUUUGCCAAGGAUGUUUUCAUUAAUCAAGAACGAAAGUUAGGGGAUCGAAGACGAUCAGAUACCGUCGUAGUCUUAACCAUAAACUAUGCCGACUAGGGAUCGGAUGAUGUUAAUUUUUUAAUGACUCAUUCGGCGCCUUACG